AAGAACUGCAGAAGCACAUGCUGAGAUACUUCUCUCGCAGUGCCACUUGAACUUUUCAGCUCUCCAAGCUUUAAGACGUGUCAAGAUCGCAAGGUUAACUUUUUGUGUUUCUCCCAAAAGCUCGGUCUACCCCACCCUGAAAACAAGCUCCGACAUAUCUUUCUCCAGCAUCUUGUCUCCCCCGUCCCCCUUGAACUCUUUGUUACCAGCACAUUCGGCUACCCAAAAUCCCAUUAUUGCUACUCGAGUGCACGCUGACUUCCGUGGAAUUAAACUGGAGAGCAGCAAGGGGUGUUUUGCAAUCUUAACAAUAUGGCACAGAGAUUUAGAGAGAUCCACCACCACGCUGACUCUGAGCCACGCCAAAUAAAGGGAUCGCUACUUCCUUCAUUCGCACUGAAUAUGAAGACAUUGAGGAUACAGAAGAUACAAGGAUUGGUUGUAAAAGAAAAGAAAGAAAGCCUGAUGUUGUAGUAUUAAACAGUGGUCACACCAAACUCUAAUAUUUAUAAAAUCCUGGUUCGGAGCUGCACAAACAGCUUGCCUGUGCAGUGAAAGAUCAUUACACAAUAUCUCUAUAUAUUCCAAUAAAAAGCAGUUUAAACAAUCAGUUUUUUUCUACAACCUGUCUGAUACUUGUUUCUGCUCCAAAUAUAAGUUGCCAGCUUCUAACAUCAGUUUCACUGGUGAGUGAAAUUAUAUCUUAAGAU
This is a long non-coding RNA of Gasterosteus aculeatus aculeatus (three-spined stickleback), 710 nucleotides long. NCBI's taxonomy places the organism in Eukaryota, Metazoa, Chordata, Actinopteri, Perciformes, Gasterosteidae. The record is from Ensembl.